Molecule: ribosomal RNA, 429 nt
Filed under: Gemmatimonadota bacterium
Lineage: Bacteria; Pseudomonadati; Gemmatimonadota
Description: Gemmatimonadetes bacterium partial 16S ribosomal RNA
Rfam family: Bacterial small subunit ribosomal RNA
Source: RNAcentral
UAGGGAAUCUUCGGCAAUGGACGAAAGUCUGACCGAGCAACGCCGCGUGAGUGAAGAAGGUUUUCGGAUCGUAAAACUCUGUUGUUAGAGAAGAACAAGGACGUUAGUAACUGAACGUCCCCUGACGGUAUCUAACCAGAAAGCCACGGCUAACUACGUGCUAGCAGCCGCGGUAAUACGUAGGUGGCAAGCGUUGUCCGGAUUUAUUGGGCGUAAAGCGAGCGCAGGCGGUUUCUUAAGUCUGAUGUGAAAGCCCCCGGCUCAACCGGGGAGGGUCAUUGGACCCUCUGAGACUUGAGUGCCGAAUACUCGCGUGUCCUUCCCUGUGUCGCCGUGACCUGCGUCCCUAUCUGUCUCACCCCCCUUGGCUACUGCGGCUCUCUGGUCUGUACCUGACGCUGAGGCUCGAAAGCGUGGGGAGCAAACAGG